RNAcentral lists this ribosomal RNA (253 nucleotides) under uncultured bacterium. RNAcentral describes it as "partial 16S ribosomal RNA". It matches the Rfam family "Bacterial small subunit ribosomal RNA", at positions 524 to 776 of the family's 1533-position model. The record is from RNAcentral.
UACAGAGGGUGCGAGCGUUAAUCGGAAUUACUGGGCGUAAAGCGUGCGUAGACGGUUAUUUAAGUCAGAUGUGAAAGCCCCGGGCUCAACCUGGGAAUUGCAUUUGAGACUGAAUAGCUAGGGUGCGGUAGAGGGAAGCGGAAUUUCCGGUGUAGCGGUGAAAUGCGUAGAUAUCUGGAGGAACACCGGUGGCGAAGGCGGCAUCCUGGACCAAUAUUGACGCUGAGGAGCGAAAGCCAGGGGAGCAAACGGG